UACGUAGGUGGCGAGCGUUGUCCGGAUUUAUUGGGCGUAAAGCGCGCGCAGGCGGUCCGGCAAGUCCUGUGUGAAAUCUCCCGGCUCAACCGGGAGGGUGCGGAGGAGACUGUCGAACUGGAGGGACCGAGAGGCCGGUGGAAUUCCCGGUGUAGUGGUGAAAUGCGUAGAUAUCGGGAGGAACACCUGUGGUGUAGACGGCUAUCUGGACGGCGACUGACGCUGAGACACGAAAGCGUGGGUAGCAAACAGG
Molecule: ribosomal RNA, 253 nt
Filed under: uncultured bacterium
Lineage: Bacteria
Description: partial 16S ribosomal RNA
Rfam family: Bacterial small subunit ribosomal RNA
Source: RNAcentral